AGCCGGUCCCCUCGGCGACGAACGUCUGUGAACCCGGUCAGGUCCGGAAGGAAGCAGCCGUAGCAGCCCGCUCGGGUGCCGGGGUAUGGCUGGCUUGC
This 98-nucleotide signal recognition particle RNA is filed under the name Pseudomonadota bacterium. RNAcentral's name for it is "Proteobacteria bacterium signal recognition particle sRNA small type". It matches the Rfam family "Bacterial small signal recognition particle RNA". From Rfam's summary of the family: The signal recognition particle (SRP) is a universally conserved ribonucleoprotein involved in the co-translational targeting of proteins to membranes. Archaeal SRP consists of a 7S RNA and homologues of the eukaryotic SRP19 and SRP54 proteins. In most bacteria, the SRP consists of a 4.5S RNA and the Ffh protein (a homologue of the eukaryotic SRP54 protein). Lineage: Bacteria; Pseudomonadati; Pseudomonadota. The record is from RNAcentral.